RNAcentral lists this ribosomal RNA (469 nucleotides) under uncultured Acidobacteriota bacterium. RNAcentral's name for it is "bacterial SSU rRNA". It matches the Rfam family "Bacterial small subunit ribosomal RNA", at positions 13 to 467 of the family's 1533-position model. Lineage: Bacteria; Pseudomonadati; Acidobacteriota. The record is from RNAcentral.
UUGAUCCUGGCUCAGAACGAACGCUGGCGGCGUGGAUAAGACAUGCAAGUCGGACGAGAUUUUUCGUUGUAGCAAUACGAUGGAAAUUUAGUGGCGAACGGGUGCUUAACACGUGGGCAAAGUGCCAGGAAGUGGGGGAUAGCCCGCCGAAAGGCGAAUUAAUACCGCAUGUGAUUAGAGAGGACAUCCUUUCGAAAUUAAAGUCGGGGCAACCUGACGCUUUUUGUGGGGCCCGCGGCCUAUCAGCUAGUUGGUGAGGUAACGGCUCACCAAGGCGUUGACGGGUAGCUGGUCUGAGAGGACGACCAGCCACACUGGGACUGAGACACGGCCCAGACACCUACGGGUGGCAGCAGUCGAGAAUUUUUCUCAAUGGGGGAAACCCUGAAGGAGCGACGCCGCGUGGAGGAUGAAUGCUUUCGGGUUGUAAACUCCUGUCAUUUGGGAACAAGGCCUUACGUUAACUGCG